This 445-nucleotide long non-coding RNA is filed under the name Phoenix dactylifera (date palm). Its description in RNAcentral is "long non-coding RNA (PDAC_LNC000526)". The record is from RNAcentral. Lineage: Eukaryota; Viridiplantae; Streptophyta; Magnoliopsida; Arecales; Arecaceae.
CUCUCUCUCUCUCUCUCUCUCUCUCUCUCUCUCUCUCCCUCUCUCCAUUCGUCUUGGUGCUCUUGGUUCUUGAUAUUUUCACCCCUUUCUUUUGUUAUUUUCACCCGCUAGAUUUUAGUUGGUGGGCGGAAGAAUCUGUGUCUUUAUUUAUUUUUUGGAAUUUAGGGUAGCUAUUUAUGGUUGUAGUUGUCCUAUUUGAUUAAAUGCACGAAUCAUCUUAAUUAAAUGCAUGCAUGUAAUUAGUGUUUAUAUUCCGUUUUCAUUGAAAUCCAACUGAAAUCAGAUGGUUUCCUCCAUGUUUUCAGGUUUGAAUUGGGAAGAUGGAAUGCAUAAUUCCUUUAAUAAAACAAAAGCAUUUUUUUUAACCCGGGCGCAUUAUAAUUUGACAAAUUGACACUGUAGUUGUUGCAUGAAAUCCUCAUUUUGGAUUCUGAUUCGGUGCAAG